Oryzias latipes (Japanese medaka) is the source of this 2280-nucleotide non-coding RNA. Lineage: Eukaryota; Metazoa; Chordata; Actinopteri; Beloniformes; Adrianichthyidae. The record is from RefSeq and is a predicted model, not a curated record.
GUAUUUUUCCAAAAUUUCGCUCUGUGCCCGCCAUAUCGCUCAAAGAAAAGUUCAGGGAUUUUUUUCUUUACCUGACUUUCAUCACUGUAAAUUAGGGGUAAAUGACAUGAGAAAUUAAGAAUAUUAGAAGUGUGGAGUGAUACGUGUAUUUAUCAGUAUGUUAGCUGCAGGAAGGGUGCUGUCCUUGACACGUUCCUUUACUCAGACAGGAUGACAGGUAGGGAAGGGGGUAGCCGAUGAUCUGCUCCAGUAUCUUCUGCACUGAAGCUUCUGCUGCUCUUCUUCAGUUUGAUCUGAGAGCCAGACCAUGAUGCAGUUGGACUGGCUGAACGGUUGCUAGCAGCUUCAGACGUGCUGAUGUGCCUUGUUGAUAACGUCCUGGAUGUUAGGAAACCAAGUUAGAUCAGCUGAGAUGGGGAUGCCAAGGAAAGGGAAGCUGUGAACCCUCCUCUGUGCCUACUAUAGUCCAAAAUGACUUUCAUGGUCUUUUAUUUGCCGAUCAGCCUUACACUAUACAGUUUCCGCACUUGUCUACAAAGUUCACCUCAGUGACCUUUAAUAAGUCUUUGUUAUUGGCAAGUUAAUUACUUAUAUCCAAGACAUGGAGAUGUGGGUCCAGUAUGAGCAGGAUUUGGGAAAUGGCAGUUGCCAAGAACUCACAUGAAGUUUCAAGGUUUUUCCCUUUAUUUGGAGGAAAAAAAGUUUUUGUCCUUUGUUUGUUGUGCAGAAUUGCAAACCUAGAAAGAAAUCAAGUUGAAAGAAUUUAUAUAAAUGUAUUUGCCCUUCUUUUGACCCUUCUACAUAAUGAAUAUUUGGUGGCUGUUGCUUGGCGACUGUGAGAUCUCUCCAUAGGAUUGACAUGGGCUGGGCCUCUCAAUGACCUUGAUAUGAUUGUUCUUCAGCCAUUCCUUGGUUGCCUUGGCUGUAGGUUCUAGGUCACUAACCUGUUGGAAGACCCAUCCAUGACUGAUUUGAAGGGUCCUGGCUUAAGGAGGGUAGGAAGUUCUCACUCAGGAUUUUCCAUUAAUGGCUCCAUCAACGUGGUGACGUAGCUCUGUGCAGAAAAAUAGCCACAAAGCAUAAUGCUUCCACCUCCAUGUUUGACAGUGGGGAAGCUGUUCUUGGGGUCAGAGGUAGCAAUUCUCUUCCUCCAAACCCAAUGGUUGAGUUGAUGCCAAAGAGCUCAGUUUUGAGCCAAACAUUCCAUUAUGCAGAAUAAACUGAUAAAGCAAACCCUAUUUUUCAGUGUGUGAUUUUCAUUUUUUCAUAAAUCUUAGGACAAUUUAGAUGAUAAAAGUAAUAAAUAUAUGAAAACAGUAUAAUACAGUAAAUAUGUAAAUAUUUGAUGUGAUGAACAAUGCUUAUCUGAUUUAGACCCAACAUGGAAUAUUUUAUGACAGACACACAUCAAGUUGUGUUAUUUAAUGCUCGUAAUUUAGACACAAAUGAUAGAAAUGUUUUAUAUGUCAAAGAGGCCAUGUGAAAAUUUUAGUGCAAAUACGCAUGCGUGCGCGCCGUGCACAUUAAGCCAUCCCACCCCCACGUAUCCGCGCGCCAGUCGGUGGGUGUUGGGCGUCAAUAAAGGUAAUCUGGUUGUCGCGCGUUCUGCAUCUCUGCACGAGCUAAAGAAGUCUCAAAGGUAAGAAAUGUAAACACAAGAGGCAGUAAUGAAAAUACUUUAUGGUCAUCUGAAUGUAUUUUCAUCUGACAGAUGAAUGCCGCUGUUGUUAUCACUGUGACGGACGAGCGGUGCUGAAAAAUACGGCCUCCAUCGAGAGACUGAACGUAACACGACUGCAGAGGCGCGGCGGCUGGCUGGAGGAGAGCAGUUGCAGGAUUCCAGAGGUGAGACGGCGUGAAACCAGAGGACUGCGACCAGAGCAAGAACAUGAGCGAGCCUGACUAUGCACCGUGGGAGGUAAAACGAACUGGCACCGACUGAAGAUCCAGGAGAUCCUUAAGAAGGCAGCGGUGAUGAGGGGGGGGUCAUGGCCUCUACGCUGGAUUCCAAAAAAGAGACAAAAAAAACCCCGACCUCAACCCCCACUCUUAGUCAGACAUGUUUAUUUUUUUAUUUACAAUAAUAAAUAAUAUACUAUGUACAUUUAUUUUGUUUUACUUUUUUAUACUUAGUUUCCUUAUUUCCUAUAAUAUUUAUUAGUAGUUGUUGUUUGUUGAUGUUAGUUCUUUUUAGCCCCUUUUAUGUUAAAAUAGACGUAAAUGAUCCAGAUGCUGAUAUUCUAAUAUAUAGACAGAUUUAUGAAUGAAUUAUUCUCAACA